UAGCAUGAUGUUUUUCAUGGAUGGCGUCGUGGAUUCGGCGUGAUUGAAGGCGGUUCGUGGAUUCGGAUCGUGGGCUCGUGAAUUCGAGUGGCGUUCGUGGAUUCGAACGUGUGCGAGGCGUUCGUGGAUUCGAAUGUGAGGGCGUUGACAACCCAGAGGAUUGCGCGAGAUUUGUAAGAGGUUAAGAGAGGUCGAGUCUGUGGAGUCGGUAAU
This 213-nucleotide long non-coding RNA is filed under the name Ananas comosus (pineapple). RNAcentral describes it as "long non-coding RNA (ACOM_LNC044299)". The record is from RNAcentral. Lineage: Eukaryota; Viridiplantae; Streptophyta; Magnoliopsida; Poales; Bromeliaceae.